GGGGAAGCAUGGCUCAGGUGGUUGAGUGGGUGUCUGGAAAUCAGAAGGUUCCUGGUUCAAUCCCUGGCUUCUCCA
This is a non-coding RNA of Gymnothorax javanicus (giant moray), 75 nucleotides long. Lineage: Eukaryota; Metazoa; Chordata; Actinopteri; Anguilliformes; Muraenidae. The record is from the annotation of a GenBank genome assembly.